UACGAAGGGAGCUAGCGUUGCUCGGAAUCACUGGGCGUAAAGCGCACGUAGGCGGAUUGUUAAGUCAGGGGUGAAAUCCUGGAGCUCAACUCCAGAACUGCCUUUGAUACUGGCGAUCUUGAGUCCGGGAGAGGUGAGUGGAACUGCGAGUGUAGAGGUGAAAUUCGUAGAUAUUCGGAAGAACACCAGUGGCGAAGGCGACACACUGGCCCAUUACUGACGCUGAGGCUCGAAAGCGUGGGGAGCGAACAGG
This 253-nucleotide ribosomal RNA is filed under the name uncultured bacterium. Its description in RNAcentral is "partial 16S ribosomal RNA". It matches the Rfam family "Bacterial small subunit ribosomal RNA", at positions 524 to 776 of the family's 1533-position model. The record is from RNAcentral.